UACGGAGGGUGCGAGCGUUGUCCGGAAUCACUGGGCGUAAAGGGCGCGUAGGCGGCCUGAUAAGUAGGGGGUGAAAUCCUGCGGCUUAACCGCAGGGCUGCCUUCUAAACUGUCAGGCUAGAGCACAGUAGAGGCAGGUGGAAUUCCCGGUGUAGCGGUGGAAUGCGUAGAGAUCGGGAAGAACAUCAGUGGCGAAGGCGGCCUGCUGGGCUGUUGCUGACGCUGAGGCGCGACAGCGUGGGGAGCGAACGGG
Molecule: ribosomal RNA, 253 nt
Filed under: uncultured bacterium
Lineage: Bacteria
Description: partial 16S ribosomal RNA
Rfam family: Bacterial small subunit ribosomal RNA
Source: RNAcentral